UACGUAGGGGGCAAGCGUUGUCCGGAUUUACUGGGCGUAAAGAGCGUGUAGGCGGUCCGGUAAGUCCGCUGUGAAAGUCGGGGGCUCAACCCUCGAAUGCCGGUGGAUACUGUCGGGCCAGAGUGCGGAAGAGGCGAGUGGAAUUCCUGGUGUAGCGGUGAAAUGCGCAGAUAUCAGGAGGAACACCUAUUGCGAAGGCAGCUCGCUGGGACGUAACUGACGCUGAGACGCGAAAGCGUGGGGAGCAAACAGG
Molecule: ribosomal RNA, 253 nt
Filed under: uncultured bacterium
Lineage: Bacteria
Description: partial 16S ribosomal RNA
Rfam family: Bacterial small subunit ribosomal RNA
Source: RNAcentral